Non-coding RNA from Rattus norvegicus (Norway rat), 469 nucleotides. NCBI's taxonomy places the organism in Eukaryota, Metazoa, Chordata, Mammalia, Rodentia, Muridae. The record is from RefSeq and is a predicted model, not a curated record.
CCAGCGGGGAGAUGGAUGGGCACUGGAUAAAGAUGUACUGUCCGGGCGCCAUCUUGAAGUCACGCUUCUUCAUGUGAAGUUCCAGGACUGCAGAUGGGUGACUCACCACCUACAGCAGAGCAAGAUAGCCGAUGGGAUUCUCAUUCAGCAUGAAGUAAAAACAAAAGAGCCACAAGUUUGAAGAGCAAGGCAGAGAAGUCCCUCCAAGGUACACACCACUGAGCAGGAUAGAACAGCAUGACACUGCACCAUUGCCAUCUUGAACCUUAUAGCAUCCCUUGAGACUCUGAACCUGUGGUGGCAUUCCCAGCAUGUGCUCAGCUCCCGUGGUUCAGCUAACAUUGUGGAAGAGUGGGCAAAAACCUAAGAGCCAGAGGAUUGAGUGCUGCAAAAUGCUGUCUCCAGGAUACAACAUGGCUCCUGCACAAUGGACUCAUUGCCCCUAUGAUUACCUGCACAAGAUCAAGGC